AGAGUUUGAUCCUGGCUCAGGACAAACGCUGGCGGCGUGCGUAACACAUGCAAGUCGAACGCCCUUCACGCGAGUGGAGGGAGUGGCGGACGGGUGAGGAAUUCAUGGGUAUCUACCUUCGGGUGGGGGAUACCGGCGAGAAAUCGCCGACAAUCCCGCAUAGGGUCACGGAGACGUGAGCAAAGCCGAGAGGCGCCGGGAGAUGAGCCUGUGGCCGAUUAGCUAGCUGGUGGGGUAAGGGCUCACCAGGGCGACGAUCGGUAGCUGGUCUGAGAGGAUGAUCAGCCACACUGGGAUUGAGAACGGCCCAGACUCCUACGGGGGGCAGCAGUGAGGAAUCUUCCGCUAUGGACGCAAGUCUGACGGAGCAACGCCGCGUGCAGGAGGACGCUUUUCGGAGUGUAAACUGCUUUUCUGCCGGACGAGUAUGGACGGUACCCCUGGAAGAAGCCUCGGCUAACUACGUGCCAGCUGCCGCGGUAAUACGUAGGAGGCGAGCGUUGUCCGGAGUUACUGGGCGUAAAGGGCGCGCAGGCGGCCCGCCGCGUUGGUGGUGAAAGUUGCGAGCUUAACU
Molecule: ribosomal RNA, 574 nt
Filed under: uncultured soil bacterium
Lineage: Bacteria
Description: bacterial SSU rRNA
Rfam family: Bacterial small subunit ribosomal RNA
Source: RNAcentral